UGGGGAAUAUUGGGCAAUGGACGCAAGUCUGACCCAGCAACGCCGCGUGAAGGAAGAAGGCUUUCGGGUUGUAAACUUCUUUUGUCAGGGAAGAGUAGAAGACGGUACCUGACGAAUAAGCCACGGCUAACUACGUGCCAGCAGCCGCGGUAAUACGUAGGUGGCAAGCGUUGUCCGGAUUUACUGGGUGUAAAGGGCGUGCAGCCGGGCCGGCAAGUCAGAUGUGAAAUCUGGAGGCUUAACCUCCAAACUGCAUUUGAAACUGUAGGUCUUGAGUACCGGAGAGGUUAUCGGAAUUCCUUGUGUAGCGGUGAAAUGCGUAGAUAUAAGGAAGAACACCAGUGGCGAAGGCGGAUAACUGGACGGCAACUGACGGUGAGGCGCGAAAGCGUGGGGAGCA
Molecule: ribosomal RNA, 400 nt
Filed under: uncultured bacterium
Lineage: Bacteria
Description: bacterial SSU rRNA
Rfam family: Bacterial small subunit ribosomal RNA
Source: RNAcentral